UUCUGCCCUAUGAUUAUUUAAAUGGCUGCAGUAUUUUGACUGUACAAAGGUAGCAUAAUAAUUAGUUAAUUAAUUGUUGACUGGCAUGAACGAGUACAUGAGGAAAAACUUUUAUUAAUAUUAAUAUUAAAAUUUUAUUUUUAAGUAAAAAAGCUUAAGUUAUUUUUAGGGACGAUAAGACCCUAAAGAACUUUAAUUUAAUAUUAAAUUUAUUUUAUUUUUGUAAUUAAUAAUUAUUAAUUGUUGUUAAAUUUUUGUUGGGGUGACAGAUAAAUUUUACUUUAUCUUUUCUUUUCAUUUAAUAAAUGUACAAUUGAUCUUAUAGUUUAGGUUGAAAGAUUAAGUUACCUUAGGGAUAACAGCGUAAUUUUAGUGGGGAGUUCUUAUUCAUACUGAAGUUUGCGACCUCGAUGUUGAAUUAAGAUUAAUAAAGGGGGCAG
This 440-nucleotide ribosomal RNA is filed under the name Bharagonalia tardata. Its description in RNAcentral is "partial large subunit ribosomal RNA". Lineage: Eukaryota; Metazoa; Arthropoda; Insecta; Hemiptera; Cicadellidae. The record is from RNAcentral.